AUUAAACGCUGGCGGCAUGCCUUACACAUGCAAGUCGAACGGCAGCACGGGGGCAACCUUGGUGGCGAGUGGCGAACGGGUGAGUAAAGCAUCGGAACGUGCCCUGGAGUGGGGGAUAACGUAGCGAAAGUUACGCUAAUACCGCAUAUUCUGUGAGCAGGAAAGCAGGGGAUCGCAAGACCUUGCGCUCUGGGAGCGGCCGAUGUCGGAUUAGCUAGUUGGUGGGGUAAAGGCCUACCAAGGCGACGAUCCGUAGCGGGUCUGAGAGGAUGAUCCGCCACACUGGGACUGAGACACGGCCCAGACUCCUACGGGAGGCAGCAGUGGGGAAUUUUUGGGACAAUGGGGCGAAAGCCUGAUCCAGCCAUGCCGCGUGAGUGAAGAAGGCCUCGGUUGUAAG
RNAcentral lists this ribosomal RNA (400 nucleotides) under uncultured bacterium. RNAcentral's name for it is "bacterial SSU rRNA". It matches the Rfam family "Bacterial small subunit ribosomal RNA", at positions 29 to 429 of the family's 1533-position model. The record is from RNAcentral.